Molecule: ribosomal RNA, 670 nt
Filed under: uncultured marine eukaryote
Lineage: Eukaryota
Description: bacterial SSU rRNA
Rfam family: Eukaryotic small subunit ribosomal RNA
Source: RNAcentral
UGCGAUUAAAGCUCGUAGUUGAAUGUCUGGGUGGGUGGCGCCGGUGUGGUGUGCAAACGCCGCAGCUGUGUGCCAUUUCUGCCCUGUUAACUUUUGUGGGGUGCGGUGUGGCGGUCUUAGUUGGUCGUUGUGUCGUGAUUUCCUCCCUGCAUCGAUUACUGUGAACAAAUUAGAGUGUUCAAAGCAAGCUGUAGCGCUUGAAUACAUUAGCAUGGAAUAAUGACAUAGGACUUUGGUGCUAUUUCGUUGGUUGUGUACCAAGGUAAUGAUUAAUAGGGAUAGUUGGGGGUAUUCAUAUUUGAUUGUCAGAGGUGAAAUUCUUGGAUUUAUUAAAGAUGAACAAGUGCGAAAGCAUUUACCAAGGAUGUUUUCAUUAAUCAAGAACGAAAGUCAGGGGAUCGAAGAGGAUUAGAUACCCUCGUAGUCUUGACCAUAAACUAUGCCGACUCAGGAUUGGCGGGGCAAAACUAGCGAUAGUAUGACUCCGUCAGCACUGUGUGAGAAAUCAAAGUCUUUGGGUUUUUGGGGAAGUAUGGUCGCAAGGCUGAAACUUAAAGGAAUUGACGGAAGGGCACCACCAGGAGUGGAGCCUGCGGCUUAAUUUGACUCAACACGGGGAAACUUACCAGGUCCAGACAUAGUAAGGAUUGACAGAUUGAGAGCUCUUUCU